This 566-nucleotide ribosomal RNA is filed under the name uncultured bacterium. RNAcentral describes it as "partial 16S ribosomal RNA". It matches the Rfam family "Bacterial small subunit ribosomal RNA", at positions 355 to 912 of the family's 1533-position model. The record is from RNAcentral.
UGGGGAAUUUUGGACAAUGGGCGAAAGCCUGAUCCAGCAAUGCCGCGUGUGUGAAGAAGGCCUUCGGGUUGUAAAGCACUUUUGUCCGGAAAGAAAUCCUUGGCUCUAAUACAGUCGGGGGAUGACGGUACCGGAAGAAUAAGCACCGGCUAACUACGUGCCAGCAGCCGCGGUAAUACGUAGGGUGCAAGCGUUAAUCGGAAUUACUGGGCGUAAAGCGUGCGCAGGCGGUUUGCUAAGACCGAUGUGAAAUCCCCGGGCUCAACCUGGGAACUGCAUUGGUGACUGGCAGGCUAGAGUAUGGCAGAGGGGGGUAGAAUUCCACGUGUAGCAGUGAAAUGCGUAGAGAUGUGGAGGAAUACCGAUGGCGAAGGCAGCCCCCUGGGCCAAUACUGACGCUCAUGCACGAAAGCGUGGGGAGCAAAACAGGAUUAGAUACCCUGGUAGUCCACGCCCUAAAACGAUGUCAACUAGUUGUUGGGGAUUCAUUUCCUUAGUAACGUAGCUAACGCGUGAAGUUGACCGCCUGGGGAGUACGGUCGCAAGAUUAAAACUCAAAUGAAUUG